This 332-nucleotide long non-coding RNA is filed under the name Sorghum bicolor (sorghum). RNAcentral's name for it is "long non-coding RNA (SBIC_LNC017811)". The record is from RNAcentral. Lineage: Eukaryota; Viridiplantae; Streptophyta; Magnoliopsida; Poales; Poaceae.
GUUCUUCACUUGGUGGAGUCUGGGAGUUAUAAAAGUCCUUCAUAUUUUGCUCGAAGUGUACCUGCUCAUAGAGACAAGGCAGAGAUCAAGUGCAUGGGCCCUGUUGGUGGAAAACACCAACAGAACCAAAAGUGUAAUUGCUCUUCUCUAUCCUUAAGCAUAGUGAGCAAGACACAGUUGAUGGAUAAUAAGAUCAUGAGUGUAGCAUUUAAAACAUUCGUCAGAUCAGAUCACUCAACCUAAUAGAAAGAUAAUCUAUCUAUAUAUAUGUGUUGUUUAUAUCUUCCAAAGAUUGAGUGUGCAACAUUUUAGCUAAUAUGAUUAGGAGUGUG